This 520-nucleotide ribosomal RNA is filed under the name uncultured bacterium. RNAcentral describes it as "bacterial SSU rRNA". It matches the Rfam family "Archaeal small subunit ribosomal RNA", at positions 345 to 866 of the family's 1478-position model. The record is from RNAcentral.
AACCUCCGCAAUGUGAGAAAUCGCGACGGGGGGAUCCCAAGUGCCAUUCUUAACGGGAUGGCUUUUCAUUAGUGUAAAGAGCUUUUGGAAUAAGGGCUGGGCAAGACCGGUGCCAGCCGCCGCGGUAACACCGGCAGCUCUAGUGGUAGCAGUUUUUAUUGGGUCUAAAGCGUCCGUAGCCGGUUUAAUAAGUCUCUGGUGAAAUCCUGUAGCUUAACUGUGGGAAUUGCUGGAGAUACUAUUAGACUUGAGACCGGGAGAGGUUAGAGGUACUCCCAGGGUAGAGGUGAAAUUCUGUAAUCCUGGGAGGACCGCCUGUUGCGAAGGCGUCUAACUGGAACGGUUCUGACGGCGAGGGACGAAAGUUAGGGGCGCGAACCGGAUUAGAUACCCGGGUAGUCCUAACUGUAACGAUGCGGACUUGGUGUUGGGGUGGCUUUGAGCUGCUCCAGUGCCGAAGGGAAGCUGUUAAGUCCGCCGCCUGGGAAGUACGGUCGCAAGACUGAAACUUAAAGGAAGU